This is a non-coding RNA of Kluyveromyces marxianus, 1693 nucleotides long. The record is from Rfam. NCBI's taxonomy places the organism in Eukaryota, Fungi, Ascomycota, Saccharomycetes, Saccharomycetales, Saccharomycetaceae.
AAGGUAAACCUGAUAAAAAUAUAAAUUAAGUGAACUGAAACAUCUAAGUAACUUAAAGAAUAUAAAUCAACAGAGAUAUUAUGAGUAUUGGUGAGAGAAAAUAAUAUAGUCAAAUUUAUAUAUUUAUAAUAUAUAUAAAUAAAUAAGUAUUAUGUAAAUAAAUUAUGUAAGAAUAUAGGACAAACUAGUUCUAAGACUAAAUACUAUUAAUAAACAAAAUAAGUACCGUAAGGGAAAAUAAGUAAUUGGUUAUUUUAUAAGCAGUUAUAAAUAUUUUAUAUAAAUAUUAAUAACGUACCUUUUGUAUAAUGGGUCAGCAAGUAAUUAUUAUUAGCAAAAUUAUUUUAAUAUAAUUAUAAAUAAUUUGAAUAUUAAACAUUGUAUAAUAUAAUAAUAUAUAUUUAAUAUAUAUUAUAGUUAGUUAAUGAUAAUUGACCCGAAAGCGGACGAUCUUAAUAUGACCAGACGGUUAAAAACGGUCGAACAGGUUGAUGUUGCAAUAUCAUCUGAUGAGUCGUGUUAAGCGGUGAAAGACAAAUCUGGUUCGCAGAUAGCUGGUUUUCCACGAAAUAUAUGUUAGUAUAGUCUCUAUUAAAUAAUUAAUAUUAUUAUUAUAUUUUUUAUAUAAUAAUAAAGAAUGGUACAGCUAUAAAUAUUAUUAUUUGGGGAAUAAUUGCUAUUUUAUCAAAGAUAUUUAAUCUCGAAAUGUUUAUUAAUAUUAAUAGAGAAUCAGACUGUGCGCGAUAAGGUGAACAGUCUAAAGGGAAACAGCCCAGAAUAAGAUAUAAAGUUCUUAAUUAGAUAAUAAGUGAAAUAAAUAUUUAAAUAUUAUAAUACAAUCAGUUAAUGGGUUUGACAAUAACCAUUUUUUAAUGAACAUGUAACAAUGCACUGAUCUAUUUUUUUUAUAAAUAAUAUUUAAAACCAUAAUUAUUUUUAAUAAUUAUGUAAAUAAAUAAUAUAACGGAUCUUUUUUAAUUAUAAUUAUCUAACUGAAUAUCUAUAUAAUAUUAUAUAUAAAUAAAUGUAAUAUUAUGGUAGUGGAACAUUUAAUGAAUAAUAAGUAUAUUAAUAUUUACGGAUUAAUAUAUGAUAUAUAAAUUAAAUAGAGAAUGCUGACAUGAGUAACGAAAAAAAGGUUUAAUCCUUUUCACCUAAAGCAUAAGGUUUAACAAUAAAAGUACGGCCCUUAAGUAAAAUAUGAAUAAAAUUAUAUUGUACGAUAGGUAAAAUCUAAAUAUAUAUAUUAUAUCUAUAUUAUAUAUAUUAUAUUAUAAUAUAUAUAAACUAAUAUAGAUCAAGAAAUAGAUAUAUAUACAAAUACCGUAAUGUAUACCGACUCUGGUAUGUUAGUAGAGAAUAUGAAGGUGAAUUAGAUAAUUAAAGAGAAGGAACUCGGCAAAAAUAGCUCUAACGUUAGUCAAAAAAGAGUAAAAAAAACAAGGUUGUCCAACUGUUUACUAAAAACACCGCACUUUGCAAAAACGUUAAGUUAUAGUAUAAGGUGUGAACUCUGCUCCAUGCUUAAUUAAUAAAUAUGAAUAAUUAUUAUGAUUAUUAUAUUAAAUUUAAGUAAAUAGCAGCCUUAUUAUGAGGGUUCUAAGGUAGCGAAAUUCCUAGGCCAAUAAUUGUGGUCCUGCAUGAAUGACGUAAUGAUACAACAACUGUCUCCUCUUUAAGCUAAGUGAAAUUG